Molecule: ribosomal RNA, 244 nt
Filed under: Sphingobacterium sp.
Lineage: Bacteria; Pseudomonadati; Bacteroidota; Sphingobacteriia; Sphingobacteriales; Sphingobacteriaceae
Description: partial 16S ribosomal RNA
Rfam family: Bacterial small subunit ribosomal RNA
Source: RNAcentral
UACGUGUAGAAAGCUGAAUGUACCUGAAGAAUAAGGAUCGGCUAACUCCGUGCCAGCAGCCGCGGUAAUACGGAGGAUCCAAGCGUUAUCCGGAUUUAUUGGGUUUAAAGGGUGCGUAGGCGGUCCUAUAAGUCAGUGGUGAAAGACGGCAGCUUAACUGUCGCAGUGCCUUUGAUACUGUAGGACUUGAAUCUAUUUGAAGUGGGCGGAAUAAGACAAGUAGCGGUGAAAUGCAUAGAUAUGU